GUGAAUCAUCAAAUUUUUGAACGCAAAUUGCACUCUCUGCGGAGAGGAGGCGUGUUUGAGGGUCAGUAUUAGUAAAAAUCGGUGUGUUGCUUCUUUGUGACGCGCCGGGGUUUGGGUCAUCGUAAUAUCCUAUAGGUUUUAGUAGGCUUAAAAUUGACUGUUUUUUCUCAUGUUAGAUGUACAGAAAUUCUUUUUUUUAUUCGUCUGUCUUAAUGCUGAAAAUCUUAUUAGAUGCGACCAUAUCGUGUGGUGUCUUGUCU
Molecule: unclassified non-coding RNA, 260 nt
Filed under: Glomeraceae sp.
Lineage: Eukaryota; Fungi; Glomeromycota; Glomeromycetes; Glomerales; Glomeraceae
Description: partial contains 5.8S ribosomal RNA and internal transcribed spacer 2
Source: RNAcentral